Molecule: ribosomal RNA, 305 nt
Filed under: Leucocoprinus gongylophorus
Lineage: Eukaryota; Fungi; Basidiomycota; Agaricomycetes; Agaricales; Agaricaceae
Description: eukaryotic LSU rRNA
Rfam family: Eukaryotic large subunit ribosomal RNA
Source: RNAcentral
UUGACCUCAAAUCAGGUGGGACUACCCGCUGAACUUAAGCAUAUCAAUAAGCGGAGGAAAAGAAACUAACAAGGAUUCCCUUAGUAACUGCGAGUGAAGUGGGAAGAGCUCAAAUUUGAAAUCUGGCAGUCUCUGGCUGUCCGAGUUGUAAUCUAGAGAAGUGUUGCCCGCGCUGGACCGUGUACAAGUCUCCUGGGAUGGAGCGUCAUAGAGGGUGAGAAUCCCGUCUCUGACAUGGACUACCAGGGCUUUUGUGGUGCGCUCUCAAAGAGUCGAGUUGUUUGGGAAUGCAGCUCAAAAUGGGU